RNAcentral lists this ribosomal RNA (119 nucleotides) under Beta vulgaris subsp. vulgaris (sugar beet). The record is from RNAcentral. Lineage: Eukaryota; Viridiplantae; Streptophyta; Magnoliopsida; Caryophyllales; Amaranthaceae.
GGGUGCGAUCAUGCCACCACUAAUUCACCGGAUUCCAUUAGAACUCUGCAGUUAAGCGUGCUUGGGCGAGAGUAGUACUAGGAUGGGUGACCUCCUAGGAAGUCCUCGUGUUGCCCCCG